RNAcentral lists this transfer RNA (72 nucleotides) under Camelus bactrianus (Bactrian camel). It matches the Rfam family "tRNA". Rfam says of the family: Transfer RNA (tRNA) molecules are approximately 80 nucleotides in length. Their secondary structure includes four short double-helical elements and three loops (D, anti-codon, and T loops). Further hydrogen bonds mediate the characteristic L-shaped molecular structure. tRNAs have two regions of fundamental functional importance: the anti-codon, which is responsible for specific mRNA codon recognition, and the 3' end, to which the tRNAs corresponding amino acid is attached (by aminoacyl-tRNA synthetases). tRNAs cope with the degeneracy of the genetic code in two manners: having more than one tRNA (with a specific anti-codon) for a particular amino acid; and 'wobble' base-pairing, i.e. permitting non-standard base-pairing at the 3rd anti-codon position. The record is from Rfam by way of RNAcentral. Lineage: Eukaryota; Metazoa; Chordata; Mammalia; Artiodactyla; Camelidae. RNAcentral also lists the same sequence under 2 other names.
GGGGGUAUAGCUCAGUGGUAGAGUGCACGCUUAGCAUGCAUGAGGUCCUGAGUUCAAUCCCCAGUACCUCCA